UGGCAUGUCUGGGUCUAGGUGGUGACUCUC
This 30-nucleotide non-coding RNA is filed under the name Mus musculus (house mouse). Lineage: Eukaryota; Metazoa; Chordata; Mammalia; Rodentia; Muridae. The record is from RNAcentral.